CCUACGGGAGGCAGCAGUAGGGAAUCUUAGAAAUGGGGGCAACCCUGAUCUAGCCAUGCCGCGUGUGUGAUGAAGGCCCUAGGGUCGUAAAGCACUUUCGCCAGAGAUGAUAAUGACAGUAUCUGGUAAAGAAACCCCGGCUAACUCCGUGCCAGCAGCCGCGGUAAU
RNAcentral lists this ribosomal RNA (168 nucleotides) under uncultured marine bacterium. RNAcentral's name for it is "partial 16S ribosomal RNA". It matches the Rfam family "Bacterial small subunit ribosomal RNA", at positions 338 to 524 of the family's 1533-position model. The record is from RNAcentral.